Molecule: long non-coding RNA, 468 nt
Organism: Chinchilla lanigera (long-tailed chinchilla)
Lineage: Eukaryota; Metazoa; Chordata; Mammalia; Rodentia; Chinchillidae
Exons: 3
Source: RefSeq, a predicted model, not a curated record
CAGCAAAUCAUGCCCCGGCAGCUUCUAGCAGAGAUCUGGUAAAUAGCAGCAUCACUUCUGCUACAGCUAGGAUGAAGAGAACACAUAGAGCUGAUGGACUUCGGGAAAGUGAUUCAGUCAUGAGGGCACUAACCUCAUCGAUGGACCUAAACACUCAACAGCUCAUAGUGGAAUGGGCUGGUAUGAGUUGCAGGUCCCACUGAACAACUACUAGGAUCCCAGCCUCUGCUUUGCAACCUGUGACCCAGAACUGCUAGUCCUGCUCUUCCAUUUGUCUCUGCAGCACAGGAGUUGGGGACUUCUCGCCAGUGCUAAUCUCCAGGUGAACUUCACUGUUAUGGCUUGUAUCUAGAUGUCUCCCCCCACCCCCAAAGCCUCAUGCAGUCACAGACAAGGCUUUUCAGAGUUUCUAGAUCUAGGGUGUGUGAUGCUGGGAUUGAAGAUGUAAUGAUGGAAUUAAGCAUGUGA